This is a long non-coding RNA of Bufo bufo (common toad), 138 nucleotides long. RefSeq lists it as uncharacterized. The record is from RefSeq and is a predicted model, not a curated record. NCBI's taxonomy places the organism in Eukaryota, Metazoa, Chordata, Amphibia, Anura, Bufonidae. The transcript is spliced from 3 exons.
UGGAUAGGUCAUCAGUUGGGAUGAGCGAAUCGACUUCGGAUGCUUCAUCCGAAGUAGAUUCGUAUAAAACUUUGUUGCAAUACUGUACGGAGCGGGAGCUCCGUACAGUAUUAGAAUGUAUUGGCUCUGUUGAGCCGA